This 756-nucleotide ribosomal RNA is filed under the name uncultured bacterium. RNAcentral's name for it is "bacterial SSU rRNA". It matches the Rfam family "Bacterial small subunit ribosomal RNA", at positions 8 to 796 of the family's 1533-position model. The record is from RNAcentral.
AGAGUUUGAUCAUGGCUCAGAAUCAACGCUGGCGGCGCGCUUAACACAUGCAAGUCGCACGAGAAAGUGGAGCAAUCCAUGAGUAAAGUGGCGUACGGGUGAGUAACACGUGGAUCAUCUACCUCUUGGUGGGGAAUAACCUUGGGAAACCGGGGCUAAUACCGCAUAAGCCUGGAAAGGGAAAGCAGCAAUGCGCCGAGAGAGGAGUCCGCGGCCGAUUAGCUAGUUGGUAGGGUAAUGGCCUACCAAGGCAAUGAUCGGUAGCCGGCCUGAGAGGGCACACGGCCACACUGGCACUGAAACACGGGCCAGACUCCUACGGGAGGCAGCAGUGGGGAAUCUUGCACAAUGGGGGAAACCCUGAUGCAGCGACGCCGCGUGAGCGAUGAAGCCCUUCGGGGUGUAAAGCUCUUUCGGCAGGAACGAUAAUGACGGUACCUGAAGAAGAAGCUGCGGCUAACUACGUGCCAGCAGCCGCGGUAAUACGUAGGCAGCAAGCGUUGUUCGGAGUUACUGGGCGUAAAGAGUGUGUAGGCGGUUCUCUAAGUUCGGUGUGAAAUCUCCCGGCUCAACUGGGAGGGUGCGCCGGAAACUGGAGGGCUUGAGUAUGGGAGAGGAAAGCGGAAUUCCUGGUGUAGCGGUGAAAUGCGUAGAUAUCAGGAGGAACACCUGCGGUGUAGACAGCUUUCUGGACCAUCACUGACGCUGGGACACGAAAGCGUGGGUAGCAAACAGGAUUAGAUACCCUAGUAGUCC